UCUGGCGUCCUUGGGCGUCCGAGUUGUAAUUUGCAGAGGGCGCUUUGGCGUUGGCAGCAGUCUAAGUUCCUUGGAACAGGACGUCGCAGAGGGUGAGAAUCCCGUAUGUGAUUGCGUGCCUUCGCCGUGUAAAGCCCCUUCAACGAGUCGUGUUGUUUGGGAAUGCAGCACUAAAUGGGAGGUAAAUUUCUUCUAAAGCUAAAUACUGGCCAGAGACCGAUAGCGCACAAGUAGAGUGAUCGAAAGAUGAAAAGCACUUUGGAAAGAGAGUCAAACAGCACGUGAAAUUGUUGAAAGGGAAGCGCUUGUAGCCAGACUUGCCUGCAGUUGCUCAUCCGGGCUCCUGCCCGGUGCACUCUUCUGCAGGCAGGCCAGCAUCAGUUUAGGCGGCUGGAGAAUGGCCUCUGUCAUGUACCUUCUCUCGGGAAGGCCUUAUAGGGGAGGCGUAAUACAGCCAGUCUGAACUGAGGUCCGCGCAUCUGCUAGGAUGCUGGCGUAAUGGCUAUAAGCGGCCCGUCUUGAAACACGGACCAAGGAGUCUAACAUCUAUGCGAGUGUUUGGGUGUCAAGCCCGAGCGCGCAAUGAAAGUGAACGGAGGUGGGACCCUUUUAGGUGCACCAUCGACCGAUCCUGAUGUCUUCGGAUGGAUUUGAGUAAGAGCAUAGCUGUUGGGACCCGAAAGAUGGUGAACUAUGCUUGAAUAGGGUGAAGCCAGAGGAAACUCUGGUGGAGGCUCGCAGCGGUUCUGACGUGCAAAUCGAUCGUC
This 767-nucleotide ribosomal RNA is filed under the name Neohendersonia kickxii. RNAcentral describes it as "eukaryotic LSU rRNA". It matches the Rfam family "Eukaryotic large subunit ribosomal RNA", at positions 121 to 906 of the family's 3401-position model. The record is from RNAcentral. Lineage: Eukaryota; Fungi; Ascomycota; Dothideomycetes; Pleosporales; Neohendersoniaceae.